This is a non-coding RNA of Helianthus annuus (common sunflower), 108 nucleotides long. The record is from Rfam. NCBI's taxonomy places the organism in Eukaryota, Viridiplantae, Streptophyta, Magnoliopsida, Asterales, Asteraceae.
AGACCAUGAUGCGGACACUUGCGUAAAUAACUCCUUGAACCUUUCCCAAGUUUCAUAUAAGGAUUCCCCGUCCUCUUGUGAAUAUGUAUUAAUUUCAGUCAUUAAUUU